AAAGUGGCGCACGGGUGAGUAACGCGUGGGUAAUCUACCCCCGAGUUGGGGAUAACAUGCCGAAAGGUGUGCUAAUACCAAAUAAGACCACGUCCGCUUCGGCGGAUGGGGUCAAAGAUGGCCUCUGCCUGCAAGCUGUCGCUUGGGGAUGAGCCCGCGUCCCAUUAGCUAGUUGGUGGGGUAAUGGCCUACCAAGGCAACGAUGGGUAGCUGGUCUGAGAGGAUGGCCAGCCACACUGGAACUGGAACACGGUCCAGACUCCUACGGGAGGCAGCAGUGAGGAAUUUUGCGCAAUGGGGGAAACCCUGACGCAGCAACGCCGCGUGAGUGAAGAAGGCCUUCGGGUUGUAAAGCUCUGUCAAGUGGGAAGAAUAGGUCCGGUUGAAUAGGCCGGAAUAAUGACGGUACCACUGGAGGAAGCACCGGCUAACUCCGUGCCAGCAGCCGCGGUAAUACGGAGGGUGCAAGCGUUAUUCGGAUUUAUUGGGCGUAAAGGGCGUGUAGGCGGUCUGAUAAGUCAGGUGUGAAAGCCCCUGGCUCACCCAGGGAAGUGCACUUGAAACUAUCAGACUUGAGUACGGGAGGGGGAAGUGGAAUUCCUGGUGUAGAGGUGAAAUUCGUAGAUAUCAGGAGGAAUACCGGUGGCGAAGGCGACUUCCUGGACCGAUACUGACGCUGAGACGCGAAAGCGUGGGGAGCAAACAGGAUUAGAUACCCUGGUAGUCCACGCCGUAAACGAUGGGCACUAGGUGUAGCGGGUAUUGACCCCCGCUGUGCCGAAGCUAACGCAUUAAGUGCCCCGCCUGGAGAGUACGGCCGCAAGGCUAAAACUCAAAGGAAUUCUACGGGGCCCGCACAAGCAGUAGUGCAUGUAGUUUAUUUCGACGCAACGACGUAAGAACCUUUACCUGGCUUGACAUCCCCUUGACCGUCCAUCGAAAGUGGAAUUUUCCUCGGGGACAAAGUAAACAGGUGCUGCAUAGACUGUCGUCAGCUCGUGUCCUGAAUAUGUUGGCUUAGUCCCGCAACGAGCGCUACCCUCAUCUUUAGUUGCCCUAUUUGGUUAGCACCUCUAGG
RNAcentral lists this ribosomal RNA (1078 nucleotides) under uncultured delta proteobacterium. Its description in RNAcentral is "bacterial SSU rRNA". It matches the Rfam family "Bacterial small subunit ribosomal RNA", at positions 92 to 1144 of the family's 1533-position model. The record is from RNAcentral. Lineage: Bacteria; Deltaproteobacteria.